RNAcentral lists this non-coding RNA (23 nucleotides) under Arabidopsis thaliana (thale cress). The record is from RNAcentral. Lineage: Eukaryota; Viridiplantae; Streptophyta; Magnoliopsida; Brassicales; Brassicaceae.
GAAAACUUUUUCUUUGUAGUUUU